Molecule: microRNA precursor, 207 nt
Filed under: Oryza brachyantha (malo sina)
Lineage: Eukaryota; Viridiplantae; Streptophyta; Magnoliopsida; Poales; Poaceae
Description: MIR812 microRNA precursor family
Rfam family: MIR812 microRNA precursor family
Source: Rfam by way of RNAcentral
AAUAUGAUCAUUUUUUAGUUUUUUUAUACAAUGUUUUGAAUUUUCGUCUUAUUUGAAAUUUUUUACGAUUAAUAUUUUUAUUCUUACUAGAUGAUAAAAUAUGAAUAAUACUUUAUGUGUGACUAAUCUUUUUAAGUUUUUUAUAAAAUUUUUCAAAUAAGACGAAUGGUCAAAUGUUAGACACGAAAAACGAAAAACAAAAUUAUU